Molecule: non-coding RNA, 84 nt
Filed under: Alkalihalobacillus pseudalcaliphilus
Lineage: Bacteria; Bacillati; Bacillota; Bacilli; Caryophanales; Bacillaceae
Description: Bacillus pseudalcaliphilus c-di-GMP-II sequence
Rfam family: Cyclic di-GMP-II riboswitch aptamer
Source: RNAcentral
UAUAAAAUUGGACGUGAAGACGGAUUAUCUGUAUGUGGGCACUUGGGUAAUCAAGAGCGAGUAGUGCAACCGGCCAAGUUUGUA